Molecule: unclassified non-coding RNA, 253 nt
Filed under: uncultured Gemmatimonadota bacterium
Lineage: Bacteria; Pseudomonadati; Gemmatimonadota
Description: uncultured Gemmatimonadetes bacterium contains 16S-23S intergenic spacer region
Rfam family: Bacterial small subunit ribosomal RNA
Source: RNAcentral
GACGGAGGGCGCAAGCGUUGUUCGGAAUUACUGGGCGUAAAGCGCGCGCAGGCGGACGUGCAAGUCGGAAGUGAAAUCCCGGGGCUCAACUCCGGGGCUGCUCCCGAUACUGCUCGUCUAGAGACCGGUAGGGGUUGGCGGAAUUCCCGGUGUAGCGGUGGAAUGCGUAGAUAUCGGGAAGAACACCCGUGGCGAAGGCGGCCAACUGGGCCGGGUCUGACGCUGAGGCGCGAAAGCGUGGGGAGCAAACAGG